AGCAAAAGUUGGCAAGGCAAGACCUCACCGCCUGGAUCUGGACGGCACAUAAGAGAUCGGACGGCGUCCGAUAGCCACAGUGCAGAGUACCCCGAGCUGGCCGAGUUCAUAUAAGACGCAGUACCCAUGCCCGAUCCCUUCCUCAGUCCCUCCCUCUCCCACCCCAAACCUCCACUGGGUUCCCACUCCAUGCGGCUCUGAAAUCUCCCAUACAUACUGCGCCCUGGAGCUGUGGCUCGGCGUCACCACCACCGCACCGCCUCUCGCGCGCGUACGUCGCCGGCCGCCGCCGCGGUCCCCGUUGUACCUCAUGGCGUCGCGGCUGCCUCCACCCCGAUGGCGGUCUUGGACACUGGUAUUUGAGAUAGACAGGACCAACUGCAAGGCAGCCGAGCCUCGCGGGCAGGAGGAGUUGCACACACAUGGAGAGUUCAGACCGAGAGGAUUCUGGCCACGGGGAGCACCGUCGGCGCUGAUUCGCCCAUAGCAAAAAUAUGGUGUUAUCCUGAUUGAGCUUUUCUUCUACCCACCAUCCUCCCCCUUCGUUUCCUCCUCUUCUUGCUGCGUUGUUUGGGUCUUCUUGACCUUGCAAGACCUUUUCUUGACCUUGUAAGACCCAACAAUGCCACAUUUCCCCUCACGUUCUUCAUCUUCUUAUUCCACCUCCUUUCCCUGGCCAUGUUCCUUUUCACCCCUCUCUCUUCCAUCUUUCUUCCAUCUAUCCCUCCUGAGCUACAUUUUCUUAUAGUUGGAUUUUUUAUAUUCAAAGUAUUGGGAACAAGAUGAUACCAUGGAGUGACAAGUGAAGGAGAUUCUACCUCCUUUGUCAUACACGUGUGUAGAUUCAUCAUCCCCACGUUGUAUUUUCCUCUUUUGUUUUGGUUGUAGAGAGUAAAGUUGAUCAGAUACAAAAGCACGGACCUUGUCGCCAUAAUGCUCAUGCACGUGGAGUAGGAGCCUACAUGUAAUUGAGCAUGUUUAUGUAUGCCAAUGUUGUAAUGAGUUUGCUAUUCCUGCUUGAAUAGAAACAUUUUGAUGC
Triticum aestivum (bread wheat) is the source of this 1039-nucleotide long non-coding RNA. RefSeq lists it as uncharacterized. The transcript is spliced from 2 exons. NCBI's taxonomy places the organism in Eukaryota, Viridiplantae, Streptophyta, Magnoliopsida, Poales, Poaceae. The record is from RefSeq and is a predicted model, not a curated record.